UUUUUUUUCGUCCUUCGGAGGAAAAGAAACUAACAAGGAUUCCCCUAGUAGCGGCGAGCGAAGCGGGAAGAGCUCAAAUUUAUAAUCUGGCACCUUCGGUGUCCGAGUUGUAAUCUCAGAAAUGUUUUCCGCGUUGGACCGCACACAAGUCUGUUGGAAUACAGCGGCAUAGUGGUGAGACCCCCGUAUAUGGUGCGGACGCCCAGCGCUUUGUGAUACAUUUUCGAAGAGUCGAGUUGUUUGGGAAUGCAGCUCAAAUUGGGUGGUAAAUUCCAUCUAAAGCUAAAUAUUGGCGAGAGACCGAUAGCGAACAAGUACCGUGAGGGAAAGAUGAAAAGCACUUUGGAAAGAGAGUUAACAGUACGUGAAAUUGUUGGAAGGGAAACGCUUGAAGUCAGACUUGCUUGCCGAGCAAUCGGUUUGCAGGCCAGCAUCAGUUUUCCGGGAUGGAUAAUGGUAGAGAGAAGGUAGCAGUUUCGGCUGUGUUAUAGCUCUCUGCGGAUACAUCUUGGGGGACUGAGGAACGCAGUGUGCCUUUGGCGGGGGUUUCGACCUCUCACACUAUGAGACUCUGAAUCG
Molecule: ribosomal RNA, 579 nt
Filed under: Rhodotorula mucilaginosa
Lineage: Eukaryota; Fungi; Basidiomycota; Microbotryomycetes; Sporidiobolales; Sporidiobolaceae
Description: partial large subunit ribosomal RNA
Rfam family: Eukaryotic large subunit ribosomal RNA
Source: RNAcentral